CCUACGGGGUGCAGCAGUGAGGCAUAUUGGUCAAUGGACGAGAGUCUGAACCAGCCAAGUAGCGUGAAGGAUGACUGCCCUAUGGGUUGUAAACUUCUUUUAUAUGGGAAUAAAAUGUUCCACGUGUGGGAUUUUGUAUGUACCAUAUGAAUAAGGAUCGGCUAACUCCGUGCCAGCAGCCGCGGUAAUACGGAGGAUCCGAGCGUUAUCCGGAUUUAUUGGGUUUAAAGGGAGCGUAGGUGGAUUGUUAAGUCAGUUGUGAAAGUUUGCGGCUCAACCGUAAAAUUGCAGUUGAAACUGGCAGUCUUGAGUACAGUAGAGGUGGGCGGAAUUCGUGGUGUAGCGGUGAAAUGCUUAGAUAUCACGAAGAACUCCGAUUGCGAAGGCAGUUCACUGGACUGCAACUGACACUGAGGCUCGAAAGUGUGGGUAUCAAACAGGAUUAGAUACCCGAGUAGUC
This 460-nucleotide ribosomal RNA is filed under the name uncultured bacterium. RNAcentral describes it as "partial 16S ribosomal RNA". It matches the Rfam family "Bacterial small subunit ribosomal RNA", at positions 338 to 795 of the family's 1533-position model. The record is from RNAcentral.